UAGGGAAUCUUCCACAAUGGGCGCAAGCCUGAUGGAGCAACACCGCGUGAGUGAAGAAGGGUUUCGGCUCGUAAAGCUCUGUUGUUAAAGAAGAACACGUAUGAGAGUAACUGUUCAUACGUUGAUGGUAUUUAACCAGAAAGUCACGGCUAACUACGUACCAG
Molecule: ribosomal RNA, 164 nt
Filed under: uncultured bacterium
Lineage: Bacteria
Description: partial 16S ribosomal RNA
Rfam family: Bacterial small subunit ribosomal RNA
Source: RNAcentral